Molecule: non-coding RNA, 73 nt
Organism: Daphnia pulex (common water flea)
Lineage: Eukaryota; Metazoa; Arthropoda; Branchiopoda; Diplostraca; Daphniidae
Source: Rfam
ACCCGCGUAGCUCAGUCGGUAGAGCGUUAGCCUUUUAAGUUAAUGGUCGAGGGUUCGAGCCCCUUCGCGGGUG